CCCUUAGAUGUCCUGGGCUGCACGCGCGCUACACUGAUGUGUCCAGUAAGCACCUAACCUCUUCCGAAAGGAACGGGUAACCUUUGCAAAGCACAUCGUGAUGGGGAUAGAUUAUUGCAAUUAUUAGUCUUGAACGAGGAAUUCCUAGUAAGCACAAGUCAUCAGCUUGUGUUGAUUCCGUCCCUGCCCUUUGUACACACCGCCCGUCGCUCCUACCGAUUGAAUGUUCCGGUGAGCUCUUCGGACUGCGCGGUCUGCAGUUUCUGCGUUCCGUGCGGAAAGUUGCGCAAACCUUAACAUUUAGAGGAAGGAGAAGUCGUAACA
RNAcentral lists this ribosomal RNA (324 nucleotides) under uncultured eukaryote. RNAcentral's name for it is "partial 18S ribosomal RNA". It matches the Rfam family "Eukaryotic small subunit ribosomal RNA", at positions 1470 to 1796 of the family's 1831-position model. The record is from RNAcentral.